This 439-nucleotide ribosomal RNA is filed under the name uncultured bacterium. RNAcentral's name for it is "partial 16S ribosomal RNA". It matches the Rfam family "Bacterial small subunit ribosomal RNA", at positions 339 to 795 of the family's 1533-position model. The record is from RNAcentral.
CUACGGGUGGCAGCAGUGAGGAAUAUUGCACAAUGGGGGGAACCCUGAUGCAGCAACGCCGCGUGGAGGAUGACGCAUUUCGGUGUGUAGACUCCUUUUAUAUGUCAAGAAAAUGACGGUAGCAUAUGAAUAAGCACCCGCUAACUCCGUGCCAGCAGCCGCGGUAAUACGGAGGGUGCAAGCGUUACUCGGAAUCACUGGGCGUAAAGGACGCGUAGGCGGGUUGGAAAGUCAGGUGUGAAAUCCUACAGCUUAACUGUAGAACUGCACUUGAAACUUCUAAUCUAGAGUAUGGGAGGGGGAGAUGGAAUUAGUGGUGUAGGGGUAAAAUCCGUAGAUAUCACUAGGAAUACCUAAAGCGAAGGCGAUCUCCUGGAACAUUACUGACGCUAAGGCGUGAAAGCGUGGGGAGCAAACAGGAUUAGAUACCCCAGUAGUC